RNAcentral lists this ribosomal RNA (221 nucleotides) under uncultured bacterium. Its description in RNAcentral is "partial 16S ribosomal RNA". It matches the Rfam family "Bacterial small subunit ribosomal RNA", at positions 524 to 743 of the family's 1533-position model. The record is from RNAcentral.
UACGAAGGGGGCUAGGCGUUGCUCGGAAUUACUGGGCGUAAAGGGCGCGUAGGCGGAUAUCUAAGUUGGGGGUGAAAUCCCGGGGGCUCAACCUCGGAAUUGCCUUCAAAACUGGAUAUCUUGAGUUCGGGAGAGGUGAGUGGAACUCCGAGUGUAGAGGUGAAAUUCGUAGAUAUUCGGAAGAACACCAGUGGCGAAGGCGGUUCUCUGGGCCUUACCGU